AUAGCAAAACAACCUAAAUUUUGGCAACAAGACAAUAGUUAGUAUUUUUGUUCUUCUUUAUCAAGUCACUGUCAAUGCAUCUUCCUCCUGUAUUUGGUUGAAACUUCACGUUGUCUCUUGUUAUUUCCAGCUUGAAUAGGUGCAGCUUUGACAAAGUAUAGGAUGGGCAGAUGUCGCGAAAGGAAUAAUCAUGGUUUUUGAAGACUGAUAAUGCUCCCUCGAGUACUACACAGCAAAAAAACUCAGGUUAGUGUGCGUUAAGAUCUACAAUAGUUAUGUGGUUGUAAUGCAAAUCUGAACAUACUUUACCUUGAGUAGGUAUAAUUUGAUCCGGCUACUUUAUGUGCUAAGGACUUCCUUGUAUACUAUGUUCUUCAUGGUCGUUAAUAAGGGCUCAGAUCUUUUUCUCUUCUUUGAAUUCUUGCUUUGUUCCUUGCCCUUGCCUUUAUCCUUGCCGUCGUCGUUGAUGGCGAGAAUCUUAAUGUUCCUCUUCACGGUGGCUCUAGACAAUGCAACAUAGAGCUGACCGUGAGAGAAAAUCGGGUCCGGUAGGUACACCCCGACAAUCGGUAUGGUCUGUCCUUGUGCCUUGUUGAUCGUCAUGGCAAAGCUGAGCCUAAUAGGGAACUGCUUCCUCUUGAACUUGAAAGGGAAGAUAUCAUCAUCGGAUGGGCAUAGAGGUAUCCGAGGAAGGAACACCCUCCUACCAUCAUGUUGUCCUAGCACGAUUUCUGCGUCGAUGGUGUUCCUCUGGAAACCCCGGACCACAAGCCUUGUGCCAUUACAUAACCCAUUAGCUGGAUCUAUGUUUCUCAAUAGUAUAAUGGGGCAAUUUAUCUUUAGUUUGAGGGCAUGCGGAGGCAGCCCGUUGGGAGUCAGGUUGUUGAGGAACUCGGGGGCAUAGUAGCCGUGUGGGUCAUCCUAUGCACUAUCAAAACUAUGGUAGAUCUUCUCUUCGCCCUGGAAGCGCUCUAUCAUGCGUGUGUUUAUCUUAUCAACAUUGUCGUUCUUGGUGGAUAGGAUCGCUCGAGAUGUCAUGUAAUUUGGAUCAGACAUGUUGUGGUCUAGAGCAGGAAAUACAUGGUCGAUUAGCUUCUCUAGGUCAACACCGUCUCCUGUUGGCGGCACACAAAUGUCUUGAGGGAGCCUUAUGUUGCCUUCGUCGUCGGUUUCUUCGGUGUCGUUGCCUACCCUUGGCAAGUAAUCUACGAACCACGGGUCGUUAUGCGCCCUCAUGUUCGUGAUGAGCCUUAGCUGGCGCAUACCCUUCCAAAGGUAUGAACUCCGUAGGGUCGCAUCGAUUAUCUGACCCCGUGACCCUUUCCUGACGACUGGAAGCACCUGCGUGAAGUCCCCACCGAACACGACAGUUUUCCCCCGAACGGUUGGUGUCGUCGUCCCAUAAUGUCCCGCAUGCUAUUAUCCAGUGCCUCAACAGCUUGCCCCUUUGUCAUGCUGGCCUCGUCCCAUAGGAUGAGGGAAGCCAUGCGUAGGAGCUUGGUCGUCCCACUUUGCUUGGUGAAGCUGCACGACGCCCCAUCUUCAAUGCUGAGUGGGAUCUUGAACCUCGAGUGGGCUGUCCUGCCUCCAGGCAUGAUGGAAGCCGCGACGCCGGACGUCGCCGUAGCCACCGCUAUCUUGCCCUCCCCCUGAACCUUUGCGAGCAGUGCCCUGUAUAGGAAGAUCUUCCCGGGGCCUCCCGGGCCAUCGACAAAGAAUACACCCCCAUCACUGGCAUCUACUGCUGCCAGGAUCUCGUCGUAUGCAAGCCUUUGCUCAGGGUUUAGCGAGGACGCUAAAGCAGCAUCGUGUGCGUCAACCUCGAUGGUGGACUCCUCUGUGACUUCUCUGGCCUCGCCUCCACUAGUGUCAUAGGUCUCGUCAAUGUCCGGAAGAGGGAACAACGCUAUGUCUUUGCCCAUUGACUGUAGCAUGCCCCUGAUGUCUAGCAACACCAUCUGCUCCAUUGCCUUUGAGCAGGUGUGUGAUCGGCGGUAGUCAUCAGACAUCGCCUCUAGGUGCCUAUCCCAUAGACCCGCGCACGUCACCUAGCUCACAAAAUACCAAGAUUGUUGCAAAGAGCCUCCUGAGCGAGGCUGGCAUCGCGAAUUGUGUUGACUCUGUAAGAGACUUGUCAAGCGUGUUGUCGGCCUCGAUGAGGCCUGAUCUCUCGGCAACAUCGCGGAAGAUAUCACAUAGCACACCGUCCACGGUCCUUAGGUCCUCGAAAGAUGUCUUGCCUGGUACGUGGUUGAGCACCACUCGCAGAAAGUAUCGCUCCCCCUCGGCUGGAUGUGCUGACACGAUUCGACCUACUUGGUGUUGCUUUUGCCUCGGCCUCCAGUACUUUGCUCUCUGCCAUGUGAAACUUCCCGGAAAGUCCUUGUACAGGAUAUCUCGAGCCCAAACAUGUUGCUGAUUAGCGAGGAAAUACUCCAUCAACAUUGACUUAGAUACUUUAUCACGGGCGACGACAUCGGUCAGGUCCUCUCCUGCUUUGAACGUGACACUAUGCAUAUUUGGGAGAUGAAGCGGCAAUUGUAGGACCGACGGGAAACUCUCAGAAAGCUUGAAGCCGAAUAUCCUCCACAUCGCCUCCGGUGGAGUAACCCAUCUCGCAUCGAUGUACCUUUUAAUCUCUUCUACAACCCCUUUGUCAUCGGGCUGGUCAAUGCUAAUUGAAGCUCGAUCGUGGCCCGUGUAUACGUAUUUGUAAAGGUACUUGACAACCUUGAUGCUGGAGCACACCUCGACAUUUAUGUGGUAGUUGAACAUCCGCAAUAGAUAAGGGUUGUAAGGCACCACCCAUCUUUUAUCCAACAUCUGACGGCGGACCUUAGCCUGACGACCAUCGUCCCGCCGUCGAUAGACAGGGUAUGAAUCCUUCCCCUGUAAGGUGUUCUGGUUGAAUGGUCGUGGGUACUGGCUCUUGCACUUCAAGUCUUGCAUACACACAUUUUUGGGAUUUAGAUUACCGCAUGGGCCGUGCAUCAUAUGCUUCACGACCAUGGCAUAGAGCUCUGGAUACUUAUGCUUGUUCGGGAGCUCUGCGGAUAUGAUGCGGUCAUACUGCUCUGGCACCACAAGUUUAUAUUCUCUAUUCAUGAUCAACAGGAAGUGCGCAUGGGGGAGGCCCCUCUUUUGGAACUCGAAGACAUACACAUGCGCUACCACAACACCUAGGAUGUGCUUCUUGAACAACAUCUCUUUCAUGGUCUCCAACUUGGCCCUAAACACGCGUGCGACAAGAUCUGGUCGGUCCUGGGGUGUCUGGCCAGGAAGCAGCUCAUUCAGUAUCUCCUCCCAGCUAGGAUUGCACAUCAUAAUCAAAAAGAUGUCAGGCUUCCCAUAGGUCUGCACCAGUGCCAUAGCGUCUAUAUGCCUCCCCUUCAUGUCUCGGUUGCUCCCCUGAUGCGUCCCUGGGAGCACGAUCCUCUUACCAACAGCGCUCGCUUGCACCUCCCCAACCGCGAUGCUAUUCACAAGGCCUUGAUAUAGAUCGGCACGUAACUGUGUUUGGUGGUCCCUGAUCCACUUCAGCCUACAACCCUCAAUCUUGAUGAACAUGUCCACACCCCACUGCUGGAACAGGUGUGCUCCGUGAAGUAUGGGGUUGAAUAUCGCAGGGCGUGUUUGUAGUCGGUAACAGUAGUAGUCCCUGACAGAGACGCACAACCGGCUGUUCCCCUCUGUGCAAAGACGUGAAAGAAGAAGGUUAGGUACCAUAUGGGAACGAAAGACUCUGUUUAUUUUUUUGCAUAUAAGCAUACCAAACGGGCGAACCUGAAUCAUUAUCGUGGUUCCGUCUUGGUUGUUGUGCAAGCUCCCAAGGGACAUUGCGCUUCGGUAUAUUUGGAUGCCAACCAAGCUCCCCCUUUGGGAAAAAGAGGGGAUACGAGAGCGGGUCAUAGCAGCCAUCUGUGGCAUGUAUACUAUGCUUCUCGUUGUUGUCCCCACAGAGUGUAAUGCUGUGGUUGAACCUGUUUGCUAGAUCGUUUCCCUCGACCCAAAUUGCAGCCAUCUCGGAUGACACAGGCCUGUUAUAUCUCCGUUGAUCGAGCUUCUGGUCAGUGUUGAGGUCUAUGCGGUACUCCUCGAGGUUUUCCUUGUGGGCACCCAAACUUCUAAACGGUUGGGAGUAGGGGUUGCCCCUGAGGAUGUCCACUAACUUGCUGACGACGCGUUGGCCCAAUUUCUUGGUAGCCUCAUUGCGAUGGCUUAAGCUGGGGUCGUCGUCAUAGAAGUACAACUGCAGAUGUCUAGGAUGAGCUGUUGGACCGAACGAAUGCACUUUGUGGUAAAUAGUACCCUGCGCCGAAACGUGUAUACCCCAAACUUCAUGUUCGUAUAAUUGUUGUCUAGGCUGACGCCAAGGGUAGUGAAGGAGAAGUGACCGUUGAAGAACCGAAUGCUCUCCCGGAAGUGCCGAGAGUCUGCAUCUCCGCUAGACCAUAACCUCAUCAGCUCUGGAAUAGGCUAUGGUUGGGCCAAAUCUAUUUCGCUGUUUCGACAGCAGAAGCCAUCUGUCUCGUACUGGAACUUCCUGGCCUUUUAAUGGUCGCAGUUCGCCGCGUGCUUCAGGAUGUGUGUGCUGUCUGGGAUGUUUGAAUAGACAUAGUCAAAAGGAUCAAGGUCGAUAGGUCCCGUGUUGGAGGAGUCCACGGGCUGAUCAAUGUUCGUGACAUCAGCGUCGUAUCCUGCAAGCAUCAUCGAGACAUAACAUGUCAUGAUAGGAUUCACAUCAUAAAAGAAUAGUAUACAGGGACGAGAAGCGAAAGGCGCCUCAGAGUACCUUCACCGGCAAACAGGUAGUACUCAUCAUCCAUGAGGCCAUCGGAGAGUGCACCAUCGUCCAUUAUGUCGCUGAGGAAGGCUUCCAUAUCAUCUGCAACAUUGUUGAGCCGGUAAGACGGCGUGCUUGAUGAAGGGGGAGGAAGGUUUAGUGUGACUGGUGACAUGGUGGAGAGUAAAGAUGAGAGGGUUACCAUCGGUCCCUAUGGUGUAAGACGGCGUGCUUGAUGAAGGGGGGGGGAAGCCAGUGAAGCAGCUCUUGUGGGUGGUGAAGAUGAGCUUGUUGCUGAUUUGUUCACAUCUAAGGUACUUGCCUCUUGGCGGGGAGUCCAACGUUUAGCUUCAAAGCUUGCAUUACGACGAUCUAGCAAUGCUGACUUCUUACCUCCUGGUAUGUUCUUCCCGAGUGCCCUUCGUUUUACGGCAUUCCCUUGAAUCUUCUUUAUGACCAUACCUUCUUUCUGAGCUCACUGCUUAGACCUACGCUGUGAUCUGGUCUCAUGCCUCUGCUCAUGGGCUUGAUUCUGGUUGUCGUAUAUUCACUGAUAAUUGCCUUGUUGCGACACAUUUAUGGGCUCUUCCUGUUGAUCACCAUCGCCCACGGUACGACUAAGGUACUCGCCUGCACCGUUAGUGAGCCGGUAAAUACUGGUUGAACACACAUAGACAUAUGAAGUAGUGUAAAGAUGGGGGGGAUUACCAUCUGAUUCUAAGCCGAGACCAGCCUUACUUGUUGACCGGGGGGCUUGAGAUGAAGCGGCGGGUUCCCGGACUGCCAACGCAUGAGUGGUCGACAUCAGGUUUGUGGCAGCUAAGGUAGAUGCAUCUGGUCGCGGCAUUGCUAUGGAUUCAAUGAAGGGGUGUUGCGCCUAGCCGCGAGUUUUGCGUUUCUCUGAGCUCGCAUAUUCUGCUCCUCUUCGGGUGACAUGUUUUGCACACGUGCUCUUCGACGGGAGUUUGUCUCUUGAUUAUCGUCGUCGGUCAUAUUUUGGUAGGCAACCCUUCUACAACUAUUCCUAUCUUGCUUGUCCUCGACCGACAUAUUUUGGUAGGCUGCCCUUCUAAGGGCGCUUCUCUGUUCCUUCUCCUCUGAUGUCAUAUGUUGCAUGGCUUCUCUUUGACAGGAAUUUCUCUCCUCAUCUGUUUUUUGUUUUCCUAGCUGCUCUGCGACGGGCAUUGAUUUCCGCCUUCUGUUCAGGUGUUAACCUAUUUUGCCGUGCUAUAUAUUGGUUUCGCCUUUUUUGUUUUUUGUCUAAUGUAAUGGCUGCGGUUGAAGCAAAUUGUUCAAGACCAGUGUGUGAGGUGUUGAUCCUCGGCGCUAUAUAUGAAACAAUAUCAUGCUCAGUGCUGCUAUGUGUUCCUCCAAGUGAUGCACGAUGAUCAUUGUAGGCCUCUUCACGAGAAUGAUUUCCUGGUGAACCAUUUUAUGGACCACUUUCGUUAAGAAAUGUACAAAUGCUAACGGAAAAUAUCUUAGUGGGUUAAAUCUCUACCACUUGGAGUUUUGACAUGCGGCACUGCCUGAAAGGCCGUGAGAUUGCCAGCUAUGGGAACCAUCAUACGGAGUUGCGUGGGCAGAUUUUCAUCAUCGUCGGAAGAGGAAACACCGUUGUUAGUAAUGUCCGUUUGGUCGCGUAUGAAAAAACCAGACAGUGGUCGGUGGGUAAGGUGGAUUGACUCCUCGGUGUCCUCUCAUAUUCAACAACUGAUAAGAAUUAAUGUAGGAUAAGUUGUGAAAGAUUACUGUAUACCUUAUAUGCAGACAUGUGAUUGGCAUAGACAUACCUCUUUUUCCUUUAUCAUACACAUUCACGCUUUCCUGUGACAUCUCUGGCUCCUAUAUGUUAUUCAUUAAAAUUGCAUUCUUUUGAAAUAAGAAAAUGAUAAAACAUGAUGAAUGAUGAAUGCACUCUUUUGCAAUAAGAAAACUGCAUUCUCCUAUACUGUGUAAACCUUCUUUUAGUUGAGCUGAUUUAAUAAGCAUCAUAUUCUACUUUGCAGGCCUUGCUCCAUUUUAUGUAGUGGGACGAGUUGCCCAAUAUAGAAGAGCUUACUGGUCUAAAUAUGACUUGGGUUUCCACUUUGAUGGCUCAGCAUUUGCUUGUAGCUCCUGACGGGUAUGCAUUGGAGAGACUAACGUUGCUUUCUGAACUCAAUCAAUGUAAAGACAUUGCGAGUAAACAAAGUUCCAAAUACUUUGGCGUUGGCUGAACAACACCAUUUCCACCAGGUAAAAACUGUUUGCUUGAAAUUCGUGGCCUCGCCGAAAUAUUUGAAAGGUAGCUAGCAAUCUUCUGAAUUUAAGCCUGAGAAUAUGUUUUGCUGUAGAAUUUGGCGAUAUCCGGUGUGGGUUUUCUUGUGGCUACAGAAUUUGUUACAAUAUGAUGAAAUUAUGCUUUAUGCUUCUUUAGUUAAUGCAAUUAUGUUGUAUGCUUCUUUAGGUUAACAUAUUUUAGGUCCCAGAAUGAGAUUAAUCAUGUUGUUACAUUGGCAAAUAUAGUGUGUAUUUCAUAUCAUCUUUUUUCAUGCAAAAUAAAAAAAGUGGUAGACGGCUUAAAUAUUUGGAAAUUCCUAGGUUAUGUGCCAGCUGCCAAGUAUUCGAUCUGUUGGUACAUACUUGCUGCUAUAAAUGCCAGUUUGGAACCUAAAAACUUUGGUUAUUCUUGGUUUGCUGUUUGGAAAUUAAAGGUAUUACCGUAGCAUUAAAUGUAUUAACUUGAAUCUAACUCUUCUCUAUCUGCGAGCUCAGAUGUGUGGCAACAGUGUUUCUUGGCCAUUGAAUUGGAUAAUUUUCGUGAUUAUAAUUUUCAACUAAAUCAUGCAUAAGGAGUUCAAGAUUGGGUUUUCUUUUAUUUUUUGAAAAAUAAGAUUAUCCAUAUAAAAAAGUACAUAUUAAGGAAUCUUUUGUGAGUGGUGCAAGGCCUUUUGAUAGUAUGCAAAAAUUUAUGCAUAUACUGUUCCAUUUUCCUUACCUAACAUGGUGUUUCUUGAUACAGUGGGAGUAGAGGUCAACGGUACUUGUGGAGUGGUGCAGUUUAAAUGUUUUAAGUGAGACUUGGUUUGAUGCCUCUAUGAUAGAUGAAUACAUCCUUAAUCCGGCUAUCAAAUAAUUGCAUCAUACUUGGAGGUAGCAGGGACGUGACAUAUGUCUUUCGAAUCUAGGUAGUACUUAGCUUACCUGGUAGACAACAUUACUUUCAAAAUAUUUACCAAUUAUGAUAGGAAAAUCCUAUCUGUAUUGAUGGAGCUAGCACUGCAUUGUAGAUUGAACAUGCCUAACUCUAAACCCUCAUCCUCACACUUCGAUUUGAGAUAUAAAGACGAUCGACGAUUGUGUGCUUUUGUAUUUGAAGUUUUCAUCAACUUCGAUUUGUUUAUUCAGAUCAAGACGGUGGUAUAUACAUCCGAAUUCGAACCAAAGAGUGCCUUAAAAGGAGGGAAUUAGCAGGGCAAGGAAAGAAUAAUGGAAGGUAAUUUUGAUUAUCUUUACUAUUAAAAGGACCAUAAUAGUUUUCAGAUUCCGAUUCUCUUGACAAAUAUUUGUUUCU
Molecule: long non-coding RNA, 8339 nt
Filed under: Hordeum vulgare
Lineage: Eukaryota; Viridiplantae; Streptophyta; Magnoliopsida; Poales; Poaceae
Description: long non-coding RNA (HVUL_LNC002108)
Source: RNAcentral